GAUAACCGAACAAACAUGGGCUGUAACUGCCUGUCGUUUGCUAUCGCUAUUCGCUAGUAACUAAACGGAUUAGCGCGAAGAUUGACUGUGAUUUAUGCACGGCCUUCAUAUCCAGGGAAUUAGAAAUGCGCGUGCUUAGUUACGCUGCUGGAAAUUUAUGCACAUGUGCAGAGUUGAACACAAAAAAGGCAUGGUGUGGAUGUGCCUUAAAAGUUAGUUAUUCAAAAUAACGUUUGAGGCACUUGUCCCCAGAGUUGGAUUUGCAUUCAGUGGAUUAUUUACAAAGGACUUCAUGAAUGGAUAAUAUACUGUGAAGCAGUAUUCAGAAUGCUGAACUUCUUAAACAGAUGUCUACAAGAUGUUUGUGGAUUGAAGAUAGACCUUUAUGUUUGUUAAUGAUGGAUCUAGACACAUUGUUUAGGAUGCCAGUACUAAACACUCUGUACACCAACUAGAUUAUAAUUUUGGAUCAGGAAUGCUACCCUGAUAUGUCGGAGCUCCACUACUUUUCACUCCAAGAUGUCGCUCAAUAUGAUGUGUUAUUUGACAAUUUCCAGGCAGUCUUCUGAACUUCAGGUAACUUGAAUGUAGCGUGGGGCAACGUACACUGAUAAGCCAAAAUGGUGUGGCCACUGCCCACAACAAGAGUGGAUGUUGCUUGGUGGCAUUAUGGGCCCGUGACGCAGUAACAAAAAUAUGUAAGUGGAGCAGAUACUGAUGGGAGAACACCGUAGUGAAGAUAUGGGCUGCAAAUGGGGAAACUGACAGCUACAAAGCACCUGCAUCCCUUCAUGCUUAAUGUCUUCCCCAGUGGUGAUGUUCUCUUUCAGUAGUACAAUUGUGUGUGUCUCGGAGCCAGAACCAUGCUACAGUGGUUUGAGGAGCAUUAUAGUGAACUCACGUUGAUGUCUCAGUGACCAAAUUUGCCUGAUGUAAAUCCUAUGGAAUUACAUGACCUGUGUGUAUAUCUUUAAUGCCACAUAGCUCCACAAACCUACCAACAAACUAUUGGAUGCCUCCACAAAAUUUUGGGCAAACUGCCGGAUGUUUGCAACUUCCUGCCACAAUAUUUUGGUGCAGAGUCUUCUGGCCAUCUUCAGGUGAUACUGGCGAAAACUCCCUGAGCUCUGGUAUUUAAGACCCCUCCGGCCCAUGUGUGGUGGAUUCACUUGGCGUUGCGCAUGCGCUACUCGAGUGCAUCUGAUUCUGCUGUGCCGCGCGCCCUCCCUGGUGAAAACUCACCGCAUCAAUAUCAAUUCGAUUUUCUUCCUGCGGUUCCAUCACAGAACUACGCCAGCUACAGAGGACACGAAGUUUUUCGACAAUUGGAUUCCAUGCCGAAUUCAGUUGGAAACCGUCGUCAUGAUUAAUAAGACUCUCAUUGUCAGACAGCCCUAUUUCCAUGGCUUCAUUAAUAACAGAACUCCAAAAGUUAGAUACAUGGGCGACAAUUUUUGUCUCGUUGUAAUUCAUGGCAUGACCAGUGUAAAUACAGUGUUCGGCUGAAGAAGGCGAGUAUGCCGCUGAUGUUCUAAGAUGCGAUAGUGCACAGUACGCAUAAUUUGCCCUAUGUAAGAUUUGCCACAUUCACACAGAAUUCUGUAAACACCUGCCUUGCGCAGCUCUAGGUCGUCUUUGACAGAUGCCAACAGUGCCGAAAUUUUUGCAGGAGGGUGAAAGAUUAAUUUCACUUUAUAUUUUCUUAGUAUUCUGCUUAUUUGCGCUGAAAUAUUACCAGUAUAUGGUAAUGGAGAGAGAGCUGCAGACCAGGGGAGAGCACUG
This is a long non-coding RNA of Schistocerca cancellata (South American locust), 1782 nucleotides long. RefSeq lists it as uncharacterized. The transcript has 4 exons. The record is from RefSeq and is a predicted model, not a curated record. NCBI's taxonomy places the organism in Eukaryota, Metazoa, Arthropoda, Insecta, Orthoptera, Acrididae.